GGCUCGGGCGAGGCUUUGGGUCACCUCCCACCCGUGUUUAUUUUACCUUGUUGCUUCGGCGGGCCCGCCUUUACUGGCCGCCGGGGGGCUCACGCCCCCGGGCCCGCGCCCGCCGAAGACACCCCCGAACUCUGUCUGAAGAUUGAAGUCUGAGUGAAAAUAUAAAUUAUUUAAAACUUUCAACAACGGAUCUCUUGGUUCCGGCAUCGAUGAAGAACGCAGCGAAAUGCGAUACGUAAUGUGAAUUGCAAAUUCAGUGAAUCAUCGAGUCUUUGAACGCACAUUGCGCCCCCUGGUAUUCCGGGGGGCAUGCCUGUCCGAGCGUCAUUGCUGCCCUCAAGCCCGGCUUGUGUGUUGGGCCCCGUCCUCCGAUUCCGGGGGACGGGCCCGAAAGGCAGCGGCGGCACCGCGUCCGGUCCUCGAGCGUAUGGGGCUUUGUCACCCGCUCUGUAGGCCCGGCCGGCGCUUGCCGAUCAACCCAAAUUUUUAUCCAGGUUGACCUCGGAUCAGGUAGGGAUACCCGCUGAACUUAAGCAUAUCAAUAAGGCGAGAGGAA
RNAcentral lists this ribosomal RNA (556 nucleotides) under Penicillium polonicum. RNAcentral's name for it is "eukaryotic LSU rRNA". The stretch from base 175 to 327 matches the Rfam family "5.8S ribosomal RNA". The record is from RNAcentral. Lineage: Eukaryota; Fungi; Ascomycota; Eurotiomycetes; Eurotiales; Aspergillaceae.